This 253-nucleotide ribosomal RNA is filed under the name uncultured bacterium. RNAcentral's name for it is "partial 16S ribosomal RNA". It matches the Rfam family "Bacterial small subunit ribosomal RNA", at positions 524 to 776 of the family's 1533-position model. The record is from RNAcentral.
UACGGGGGGGGCAAGCGUUGUUCGGAAUUACUGGGCGUAAAGGGCUCGUAGGCGGCCAACUAAGUCAGACGUGAAAUCCCUCGGCUUAACCGGGGAACUGCGUCUGAUACUGGAUGGCUUGAAUCCGGGAGAGGGAUGCGGAAUUCCAGGUGUAGCGGUGAAAUGCGUAGAUAUCUGGAGGAACACCGGUGGCGAAGGCGGCAUCCUGGACCGGCAUUAACGCUGAGGAGCGAAAGCCAGGGGAGCAAACGGG